Molecule: ribosomal RNA, 553 nt
Filed under: Fusarium oxysporum
Lineage: Eukaryota; Fungi; Ascomycota; Sordariomycetes; Hypocreales; Nectriaceae
Description: eukaryotic LSU rRNA
Rfam family: 5.8S ribosomal RNA (bases 159-312)
Source: RNAcentral
CAUUACCGAGUUAUACAACUCAUCUACCCUGUGAACAUACACUAAUACGUUGCCUCGUGCGGGAACAGACGGCCCCGUAACACGGGCCGCCCCCGCCAGAGGACCCCCUAACUCUGUUUCUAUAAUGUUUCUUCUGAGUAAACAAGCAAAUAAAUUAAAACUUUCAACAACGGAUCUCUUGGCUCUGGCAUCGAUGAAGAACGCAGCGAAAUGCGAUAAGUAAUGUGAAUUGCAGAAUUCAGUGAAUCAUCGAAUCUUUGAACGCACAUUGCGCCCGCCAGUAUUCUGGCGGGCAUGCCUGUUCGAGCGUCAUUACAACCCUCAGGCCCCCGGGCCUGGCGUUGGGGAUCGGCGGAAGCCCCCUGCGGGCACAACGCCGUCCCCCAAAUACAGUGGCGGUCCCGCCGCAGCUUCAUUUGCGUAGUAGCUAACACCUCGCAACUGGAGAGCGGCGCGGCCACGCAAGUAAAACACCCAACUUCUGAAUGUUGACCAUUCGUAUCAGUAGGAAAACCCGCUGAACUUAAGCAUAUAAAGGGGGGAAAAAAAUGUG